This 1244-nucleotide long non-coding RNA is filed under the name Junco hyemalis (dark-eyed junco). RNAcentral describes it as "lncRNA (ENSJHYG00000005102.1)". Lineage: Eukaryota; Metazoa; Chordata; Aves; Passeriformes; Passerellidae. The record is from RNAcentral.
AGUCUUUUCAUUCUCUCCUCUAGCCCAUCAGAGCCUAAAUUUAGUGGACCCAUGACCCAAGCAAAUACCUUCACUUCCUGUGUUUUCCUGUUGCAGCCCUGCUCAGCAAUGACUGUGUGCAUAGAAGAAGGAGAAAAGGUGAAUCCCCAAGCAAGCAGCCAUGUCCCUUGCAAGCUGUCAAAGUCCAGCUGCUGAACACAGCAACAGAAGGAGAGACCAUCCCAUGCAUGACAGUUAUGCCAAGCAUCAAGACUUUAAACAGAAAAGAGUUUAUGUAACCGUGGUGCCCAAAUGCUUCCUCAUGACAGUCUCUCUCAGCCAAACCAUCAAGGGCUGUGUAUCUCUCAGGAAGAUCUGCAUUCCAACUGAGAUGCCAGUGCAGGUUGAGGAGAUGGAUCCGUACACGACACAGCUCCUGUUCCAGGAGGGAGCACGAGCUAAAGAUGUGGUAGCAAUGGAAUGCAUUUGCUGCAUGGCCUAGGCAUCCAAGAGUGAAAUAGUUUUAGUCUCAAGACUGAUUUUGAGAGGUGGACCUCCUUGCAGAAUAUAAAUUGUCUCUUAAAAAUUAGUGGGGGAGCAAAAUCAGUUUCUUUACUGGGGAGACAUGGCAUGCGCUCAGCAUUGCAUAUGUGUCCUCCACAGCCAUGUAACGUGGAAUUAAACCUAAGCAGAAGCUUGGAUGGUAUUGAUUCUUAAAGAAACACACCUUCACACCUUAUAAACUCUGGGCCUCUGUGUUCUUGAGGCGCCUCUAUUAAAGGCAGACAGGAAUUUAAAUAUUUUUGUGCACAGUCCAUGCAAGUGCUGAAUUACAUGACAACUUCAGAAAACAUGGGGGGAAUGAAUUUGUAGAAAAUUCUCAAAACCUGACAGAAGGCUCACAUAGUAUGCAUACCUUGAGAUAAGAAAUGCUGACUUAGAAAUGCCAUGGAAUAGGACAGACAUUUUUGAGAGAGAAACUGAACUACAAACAAGUUUCAAAGGAUGGCCUUGCAAAAAAAGACUAGAUACUUUAGAGAAAUAGAGCUAUGAAAGAUGCAUUAUAGUAAGACCUACAAGGGAUAAUUUUAGAUGAUUGGCUUUCAGACAUUUACAACACGGUGUGGCAAAAGCUGAUAGGCCAAGACAUGCUUAUAAUGUAUUGUAAUUAGGAAAUAGUUAACUUCUGAUUGUAAUGGCAUGAAUUAUAACAUCUGAAUUGUCUCACCCUUCGCAUGAGACUGAAAAUGGAAUAAAAGUUUUUA